This 492-nucleotide ribosomal RNA is filed under the name uncultured bacterium. RNAcentral's name for it is "partial 16S ribosomal RNA". It matches the Rfam family "Bacterial small subunit ribosomal RNA", at positions 29 to 507 of the family's 1533-position model. The record is from RNAcentral.
AGUGAACGCUGGCGGUAGGCCUAACACAUGCAAGUCGAACGGCAGCACAGUAAGAGCUUGCUCUUACGGGUGGCGAGUGGCGGACGGGUGAGGAAUACAUCGGAAUCUACUUUUUCGUGGGGGAUAACGUAGGGAAACUUACGCUAAUACCGCAUACGACCUACGGGUGAAAGCAGGGGAUCUUCGGACCUUGCGCGAUUGAAUGAGCCGAUGUCGGAUUAGCUAGUUGGCGGGGUAAAGGCCCACCAAGGCGACGAUCCGUAGCUGGUCUGAGAGGAUGAUCAGCCACACUGGAACUGAGACACGGUCCAGACUCCUACGGGAGGCAGCAGUGGGGAAUAUUGGACAUUGGGCGCAAGCCUGCUCCAGCCAUACCGCGUGGUGGAAGAAGGCUUUCGGGUUGUAAAGCCCUUUUGUUGGGAAAGAAAAGCAGCAGGUUAAUACCCCGCUGUUCUGACGGUACCCAAAGAAUAAGCACCGGCUAACUUCGUG